Dunckerocampus dactyliophorus (ringed pipefish) is the source of this 633-nucleotide long non-coding RNA. RefSeq lists it as uncharacterized. Lineage: Eukaryota; Metazoa; Chordata; Actinopteri; Syngnathiformes; Syngnathidae. The transcript is spliced from 6 exons. The record is from RefSeq and is a predicted model, not a curated record.
AAUCCUUGUUGCUGAAGUGUGGACUAUGUUUCAUCCUGGCCACAUUAUACACAUCCACUAUACGGCAAGAAGCCGAAGUUGUCUAAUGUCCGUGACAGGAAAACGAUGGAAUACCGAAUAUAGGGUGACUCAGAUACAUUCUCGUUACAGCCCAGCGGUCUUCAUCUGCGCAUGUAAACACUGUGGAACACAUACAAAACAGUGGAUAUGCAGUGAUGCCAACGGAGAGAAAAGAGCGCCGGGCGAUUGAGAGGUCCAGUCCAUUCAUAAACAAGCCACAGUUCCGGAUGGUGCCCAGCUGAUCGCCCACGCCGGCCAAAAGGAAGCCGAACAGAGGGAUGCCUAGCAGGGCGUAGACGAUGCAGAAGAUUCUCCCGCCUUCUGUGUGAGGAGAGAUGUUGCCAAAGCCUGCAGAGAAGACCAGAGGCAGGACUGAAGAACAUGUCACACAGUUCCCUCCGCCAAGUCCAGGGUGUACCCCGCCUCUCGCCCGAAGGCAGCUGGGAUAGGCUCCAGCAUACCCCCGUGACCCUAAUGAGGAUGAGUGGCAUAGAAGAUGGAUGGAUGGAUGGCUGUGAUGGACCACAAACUAGUAGUGACUGAAUGAUCAGCGCGUCUUCUGGUUGCUUUCAG